GAGGGUGUAGCUCAGUGGUAGAGUGUGUGCUUAGCAUGCACCAAGUCCUGAGUUUAAUCCCCAGUACCUCCA
This 72-nucleotide transfer RNA is filed under the name Camelus bactrianus (Bactrian camel). It matches the Rfam family "tRNA". Rfam says of the family: Transfer RNA (tRNA) molecules are approximately 80 nucleotides in length. Their secondary structure includes four short double-helical elements and three loops (D, anti-codon, and T loops). RNAcentral also lists the same sequence under 2 other names. The record is from Rfam by way of RNAcentral. Lineage: Eukaryota; Metazoa; Chordata; Mammalia; Artiodactyla; Camelidae.